This 254-nucleotide ribosomal RNA is filed under the name uncultured prokaryote. RNAcentral's name for it is "partial 16S ribosomal RNA". It matches the Rfam family "Bacterial small subunit ribosomal RNA", at positions 524 to 776 of the family's 1533-position model. The record is from RNAcentral.
UACGGGGGGAGCAAGCGUUGUUCGGAUUUACUGGGCGUAAAGGGCGCGUAGGCGGCCAGCACAAGUCAGUUGUGAAAUCUCCGGGCUUAACUCGGAACGGUCAACUGAUACUGUGCGGCUAGAGUGCAGAAGGGGCAACUGGAAUUCUCGGUGUAGCGGUGAAAUGCGUAGAUAUCGAGAGGAACACCAGUGGCGAAGGCGAGUCUCUGGACAACACCUGACACUGAGGCACGAAAGCUAGGGGAGCAAACGGG